AGCCUAACACAUGCAAGUCGAACGGCAGCACAGGAGAGCUUGCUCUCUGGGUGGCGAGUGGCGGACGGGUGAGGAAUACAUCGGAAUCUACUUUUUCGUGGGGGAUAACGUAGGGAAACUUACGCUAAUACCGCAUACGACCUACGGGUGAAAGCAGGGGAUCUUCGGACCUUGCGCGAUUGAAUGAGCCGAUGUCGGAUUAGCUAGUUGGCGGGGUAAAGGCCCACCAAUGGCGACGAUCCGUAGCUGGUCUGAGA
This 257-nucleotide ribosomal RNA is filed under the name uncultured bacterium. RNAcentral's name for it is "partial 16S ribosomal RNA". It matches the Rfam family "Bacterial small subunit ribosomal RNA", at positions 46 to 297 of the family's 1533-position model. The record is from RNAcentral.